AGAGUUUGAUCAUGGCUCAGAUUGAACGCUGGCGGCAUGCCUUACACAUGCAAGUCGAACGGCAGCACGGGGGCAACCCUGGUGGCGAGUGGCGAACGGGUGAGUAACAUAUCGGAACGUGCCCUGGAGUGGGGGAUAACUAGUCGAAAGACUAGCUAAUACCGCAUACGAUCUACGGAUGAAAGUGGGGGACCGCAAGGCCUCAUGCUCGUGGAGCGGCCGAUAUCUGAUUAGCUAGUUGGUGGGGUAAAGGCCUACCAAGGCAUCGAUCAGUAGCUGGUCUGAGAGGACGACCAGCCACACUGGGACUGAGACACGGCCCAGACUCCUACGGGAGGCAGCAGUGGGGAAUUUUGGACAAUGGGCGCAAGCCUGAUCCAGCAAUGCCGCGUGAGUGAAGAAGGCCUUCGGGUUGUAAAGCUCUUUUGUCAGGGAAGAAACGGCGGGGACUAAUAUUUCCUGCUAAUGACGGUACCUGAAGAAUAAGCACCGGCUAACUACGUGCCAGCAGCCGCGGUAAUACGUAGGGUGCAAGCGUUAAUCGGAAUUACUGGGCGUAAAGCGUGCGCAGGCGGUUGUGCAAGACCGAUGUGAAAUCCCCGGGCUUAACCUGGGAAUGGCAUUGGUGACUGUACGGCUAGAGUGUGUCAGAGGGGGGUAGAAUUCCACGUAGCAGUGAAAUGCGUAGAGAUGUGGAGGAAUACCGAUGGCGAAGGCAGCCCCCUGGGAUAACACUGACGCUCAUGCACGAAAGCGUGGGGAGCAAACAGGAUUAGAUACCCUAGUAGUCC
RNAcentral lists this ribosomal RNA (791 nucleotides) under uncultured bacterium. RNAcentral's name for it is "bacterial SSU rRNA". It matches the Rfam family "Bacterial small subunit ribosomal RNA", at positions 8 to 796 of the family's 1533-position model. The record is from RNAcentral.